AGUUCCCCGGGUCUGCCCUCCGGCCCUUCUUGUAGAUGGGCGUCAUGUUUGCUAGCCGCCAGUCAACUGGGACCUCCCCUGAUAGCCAGGACUGUUGAUAAAUGAUGGAAAGUGGCUUGGCCAGCUCCUCUGCCAGUUCUCUCAGUACCCUCGGGUGGAUCCCAUCUGGCCCCAUCGACUUGCGCACAUCCAAGUGCUGUAGCAGGUCACCAACCAUUUCUUAGUGGAUAUUGAGGGCCACAUUCUGCUCCCCAUCCCCUUCUGCCAGCUCAGGGUACUGGGUAUCCAGAGAACAACCGGUAUUGCCGCUAAAGACUGAGGCAAAGAAGGCAUUAAGCACCUUAAAGAAGGCAUUAAGCAACCUUAGAGGACAAAGUAGUACACAUGUUGAAGGCCUGAAAAGUCAGGCAAGGAUUGCAAGAUGUAAAGAACAUCGAGAAGGAGAACAAAAAAAAAACACGUGUGAAAGCAAAAGAGCUAAAUGAAUUAAAUUAAUCUUUUGCACUGGUGCUUAUGAAAAAAGGAAAAAUUAGCUUGAGGAAGGGGACCAGAAGGGGAUAAAUUUGAGGAGUUUUCAGCUUACAGUGUCUGUAGAACUUAUUUAAGAACAAAAUGGCAAAAGGAGUAGUAAUAUAUUCUGACAAUUAGGGAGGCCAAAUAAAGUUGUCUGGCAUGAGGCCCAAAAUAGACAAAAGGAACACUGUUUCUCAGAAUAUAUAACAUAACUUUGGAACUCACUGUUGCCCCACUUAGUAAAUGCAAAGUUAUUAAUGGGUUUACAAGGUAAUUAUUACAGCGAUAAAAGAUACCCACCGAAGGCUAUUAAGCAAAGUUGUACUGAUGUAAUCUCAAACUCAAGAAGUGUCUAAACCAUAAAUAGAUGAACAUUGGCAGUAUGUACCACAAGAAUCAUCACUCUACACUUGCACCAUUUCCUAAUCAUCUACUCAUGACCAUCACUGAAGACAAGAUGGAGUGUGAGGUGGGUCUCGGCUCUGAUACAGCUCAGCUGCUCUUGUGUUCCAGGUACUCCAGCAAGAGUACUUUCAGAGUCCACAAUUUCAAACUCCACUCUGGUCAGACCAGGACAAGGCAUUGCUGUUCAAAUGAGGACUGAGACUCACGUAUUCACAGGACACCAGAGACCAAGCUCUCAAACAAAAUUACAUACAAUUACACCACAGUUAAACCACAACUUGCAACUAUUGCAAUAAAAAUCUUCAUUGUAUGUCUACCUCA
RNAcentral lists this long non-coding RNA (1239 nucleotides) under Anas platyrhynchos platyrhynchos (common mallard). Its description in RNAcentral is "lncRNA (ENSAPLG00000027034.1)". The record is from RNAcentral. Lineage: Eukaryota; Metazoa; Chordata; Aves; Anseriformes; Anatidae.